This 449-nucleotide ribosomal RNA is filed under the name Microbacterium testaceum. Its description in RNAcentral is "bacterial SSU rRNA". It matches the Rfam family "Bacterial small subunit ribosomal RNA", at positions 28 to 490 of the family's 1533-position model. The record is from RNAcentral. Lineage: Bacteria; Bacillati; Actinomycetota; Actinomycetes; Micrococcales; Microbacteriaceae.
GAUGAACGCUGGCGGCGUGCUUAACACAUGCAAGUCGAACGGUGAAGCCAAGCUUGCUUGGUGGAUCAGUGGCGAACGGGUGAGUAACACGUGAGCAACCUGCCCUGGACUCUGGGAUAAGCGCUGGAAACGGCGUCUAAUACUGGAUAUGAGCUUCUACCGCAUGGUGGGGGUUGGAAAGAUUUUUCGGUCUGGGAUGGGCUCGCGGCCUAUCAGCUUGUUGGUGAGGUAAUGGCUCACCAAGGCGUCGACGGGUAGCCGGCCUGAGAGGGUGACCGGCCACACUGGGACUGAGACACGGCCCAGACUCCUACGGGAGGCAGCAGUGGGGAAUAUUGCACAAUGGGCGGAAGCCUGAUGCAGCAACGCCGCGUGAGGGAUGACGGCCUUCGGGUUGUAAACCUCUUUUAGCAGGGAAGAAGCGAAAGUGACGGUACCUGCAGAAAAAG